UCAACUUUAGGUGUCAGUGUUUAGUCAGU
RNAcentral lists this non-coding RNA (29 nucleotides) under Mus musculus (house mouse). The record is from RNAcentral. Lineage: Eukaryota; Metazoa; Chordata; Mammalia; Rodentia; Muridae.